GCCGAGCGCGUGUUGUUUUGGUCCAUUUUAAUGAAAUUGUGACGCAGCUAUGCUACUUUUGCGACAGAUUUGUCGCUUGUUUUUAAAUAAAGAUAUUUUAAAUGGAGAAUGUGACACCGGUUUGUGACCUUGACACGGAACCUUUCAAUGAAUCGUUUCCUCCGGUGUUUUCUGCCWGCCUGAAUGUUUCGCUUUCACUCUCUGACAAACACAGUGUGCAGGAGACGAAACGGUGAGAGGAUUUUCCUUCAGUCUUUCCCACCAUGUUCCCCCUCCUGUUGGUGCUUUCUGUUCUCUGUCCUCCCUCACCUGGAGCUCAGAUCCCAAGCCAGGCUCAAGCCAAGGACCCCCCCAUCGCCACCAAUGGUCAGCCUUUUCCCUGGCACCGAAUGAGGCUUCCCCAAACUGCCAGCCCCCUGCACUACGACCUGACCCUCCACCCGAACCUCACYACCCUGGACUUCACCGGUGUUGUUCGGAUCAGCCUGGACGUGCACGAAGACACCCACACGGUGAUUCUCCACGCCAAGCAGAUGCAGGUUUCCAAUGUGCUGCUCCUGGCUCCUGAUGGCGCCAGGCCCCUGAAGGUGUUGGAGUAUCCUCCUUUCCAUCAGCUGGCCCUGCUGUCGGACUCCGUGCUGACCAAAGGCAGGAAGUAUGAGGUCCAGCUGGAGUUUGCUGCAAACUUGUCCGACAGCUUUCAUGGUUUUUACAAAAGCAGCUAUCGCACCAGCAGCGGGGAGGUCCGGGUUCUGGCAUCUACGCAGUUUGAGGCAACGUUUGCUCGUGGAGCCUUCCCCUGUUUUGACGAGCCCGCCUUUAAAGCCAACUUCACCAUACGGAUUACACGAGAGCCACGCCACAUCGCCAUUUCCAACAUGCCCAAGGUUAAAACAGUGGAUCUGCCCGACGGUUUACUCGAGGAUCACUUUGACACGACCGUAAAAAUGAGCACUUACCUGGUGGCCUACAUCGUGUCAGACUUCCUGUCUGUGAGCAGGACCACGCAGCACGGAGUUGAGAUCUCCAUUUAUUCAGUGCCUGAGAAGAUCAACCAGACGGCCUUUGCUUUGGAUGCUGCAGUCAAGUUGUUGGACUUCUAUGAUGAUUAUUUUGAUAUCCCUUACCCGCUUCCCAAACAGGACCUGGCAGCCAUCCCCGACUUCCAGUCUGGUGCGAUGGAGAACUGGGGUCUGACCACCUACAGAGAGACCGCCCUCCUCUUUGACCCCGACAAGUCCUCUGCCUCCGACAAACUGGCCAUCACUAAGGUCAUCGCUCACGAGCUCGCUCACCAGUGGUUUGGAAACCUGGUGACGAUGGAGUGGUGGAACGACUUGUGGCUCAACGAGGGUUUUGCCAAGUUUAUGGAGUUUAUUUCCCUUGACCUGACGUACCCUGAGCUGCAUGUGGAUGACUUCUUCUUGGGCAAAUGUUUCGAGGCUAUGGAGGUCGAUUCUCUCAGCUCAUCCCACCCGGUCUCCACCCCGGUGGAAAACCCCACACAGAUCCAGGAGAUGUUCGACGACGUGUCAUACGACAAGGGAGCGUGCAUCCUGAACAUGCUUCGGGACUUCCUCACUCCUGAGGCCUUUGAGAUCGGCAUCAUCCGAUACCUGAAGCGCUACAGCUACCAGAACACAGUGAACAGCCACCUGUGGGAGAGCCUGACUGAUAUCUGCAGCUCUGAUGAUUUGGAUGAAGGUCGAAUGAAACACGUGGAAUUUUGCUCCAAACGUAAACUUCAGUCUGGAACCACUAAGUGGUACUCUGGUGAUGAGCUGGACGUCAAGACCAUCAUGGACACCUGGACGCUGCAGGAGGGCUUCCCGCUGGUCACUGUGGAGGUCAGAGGUCGGGAGGUCAGGCUCAGUCAGGAGCGUUUCCUGAGGGCCGAMGACCCCUCCCUUACUGAAGGAUUCCUGUGGCAGAUCCCACUGACAUACCAGACCAGUGCAUCCAACACCGUCCACCGUUUCCUCCUCAAAACAAAAACUGAUGUCCUGUACCUGCCAGAGGAGGUGGACUGGCUGAAGUUUAAUGUAAACAUGAGUGGUUACUACAUGGUGCACUAUGCAGGCCAGGGCUGGGAUUCUAUCAUUAAACUGCUGCAUCACAACCACACGGCUCUGUCUGGUAAUGACAGAGCCAGCCUCAUCCAGAACGUCUUCCAGCUGGUCGGUGUUGGGAAGGUGAGGUUGGAUACGGCCCUGGAGCUGUCCCUCUACCUGUCCAGAGAGACUGAGAUCAUGGCUGUGACUCAGGGCUUCGGAGAACUCGUUCCUCUUUACAAGCUGAUGGAGAAGAGAGACAUGCCUGAGCUGGAGAACCGAAUGAAAGGUUACAUCGUGGAUCUGUUCCGGGAUCUGAUCGAUCAGCAGGAGUGGAGCGACUCUGGUUCCGUGUCUCAGCGGGUGUUGAGGAGUUACCUGCUGCUGUUCGCCUGCAUCAGAAACUACCCUCCCUGUUUGAAGAAAGCCACUCAGCUGUUUAACCAGUGGAAAGAUUCUGACGGCACCAUGAGCCUCCCUGUGGAUAUCACAAUGGCUGUGUUUGUGAUCGGAGCCCRCACACCAGAAGGAUGGGACUUCCUGUUUGAGAAGUACCGCAGCUCAAUGCAGAUGUCCGUCAAGAGCCGCAUGAAGAYAGCCAUGACCGUCACCCCGCUGCAGGACAAGCUGAUGUGGAUAAUGGAGCAGAGUCUUAACGGUGAAGUGAUGAAGACUCAGGACCUCCCUGACGUGGUCGUGUCUGUAGCCAAGAACCCUCGUGGCUACAAACUGGCCUGGGACUUCCUCCGAGCCAACUGGGUCACCAUGAUCAAGAAGUUUGACCUCGGCUCCAACAUUGUGUCCUACAUGGUGACUGGUGUGACCAACCAGUACUCCACCAGAGAGAUGCUGAAUGAGAUUCGGAGCUUCUUCGAUGCUCUGACUGAAGAGACCGGCUCAAAGAUGAGGUGCAUCCAGCAGACCUACGAAACCAUCGAGGAUAACAUCCGCUGGAUGGACAGCCACCUUCCUCUGYUGGAGGCUUGGCUGAACAAACGCAGACACAGAACGACUCACGAGGACUUAUAGCCCCUCCAGAAGGAAACUCUCGMCCCACUUCAGUCAGAUUCUUUCUGUUGUUUGUGGCUGAAUUUCGAUUCAUCAGGUGCUCCGUCCAUCCAUCAAAUGAUGUUAACUACCUCCUUCCCUUUUCUAGAGGUCUUCCUGGGCUUCCUGGGCUUCGGUCUGGCCAUCGUGUUCUGCACCAGCUUGCUCAGAGCGUGCGGUCGAAGACAAGAGGAGCAGAUCCAGAGGCAGGCACAGCAGCGCCGGGAACAGGAGCGUCACCUCAGGUCCAUUUAUUUCAUCCCCUUCCCCAGGAGCCUUUCACAGCAGGACAGUGAAGACCCCCCAACACCGCCACGCUACAGUACUUCUGGCUACUUGGAGUCCCCGCCUUCCUAUAAUGAGCUGGGAUUCAAGCCAGACGAGCUCCCGCCUGCUUACACAGAAUAUAACCUCCCUGAUUAUUCAGCAACACUUCCACCGGCUCACACAGACGUGGUACCAUCCCAGGUCCAGUCUCUGCCCUAAGGAUAUAGACAGUCGUGCACCRCCUCACUAAGUGAGGCCGUAUCUGGGAUGUAAAAGAUUUCAACGUUUAAUAGUUUUUUUUUGUGUGUGAUCUUGUUUUUUAUUGUUAUAUUUCAGUUCAGUUUUAUGUGAAUUCUGUUUAUUUAUGCAGCAUCUGUUUAAAACAAAUGUCAUGUCAAAACGCAGUUAUUUUCCCAUCCAUUGAUUUCAGUUUUAUAAAUAUAUUAGAAAAGCCUUUAAAGAAAAAAAUGCAUUAAUUUGCAGUGGGUUCUUAGUGCCAUCAAACUGGAAUUGUUUGGAUUUGUUUGCUUCAUUUUAAUACAGUGUUCACAUUAUGACAAAAGCCUGGUUUUGUUUUGUUUUGUUUUUC
This is an RNA transcript of Austrofundulus limnaeus, 3954 nucleotides long. It is a transcript of the gene named endoplasmic reticulum aminopeptidase 1b, with no coding region annotated. NCBI's taxonomy places the organism in Eukaryota, Metazoa, Chordata, Actinopteri, Cyprinodontiformes, Rivulidae. The record is from RefSeq and is a predicted model, not a curated record. The transcript has 22 exons.